AAUAAAGAGUGAUGGGACAUCAUGUCUGCAGCUGCUCUCAACUGGCUCAGGAACAAAACAACAGUACUAUGUAUAAGUAUACAGAUGGAACAAUAAGAUACAUGAGAAAAUGCAAACUCAUCUAAAGUGACAGAAAGCAGAGAUCACUGGUUGUCUGAGUGGGGAGGGACCGAGGAAGGAACCAGGAUUACACAGGGACACAAGGAAACUUUGGUCUUAGUUGUGAUGUGCGGGACAUAUGAUCUUCCUUACAGCAUGUAUGAUCUGUAGUCGCAGCAUGUGAACCCUCAGUUGCAGGACCUUUUAGCUGAGCAUGUGGGAUCUAGUUCCCUGAUCAGGAAUCAAACCCAGGCCCCACGCGUCAGGAGCUCAGAGUCUUAGCCACAGGACCACCAGGCUUCUCCUUCCCGUGAACACAUAGGAAAGCAUUUCACCAGUUACCAAACCAUGUGGGUUCUACCUCUUCACCACCUCAUUUUCUUCACCGAACUCAGGUCCUAGGUUUCCUUAACCCAGACUCCAGUCUCACCUCCUCUAAACAUCCUCCAAUUUCUGUCAAAUAACUUUCUAGAAAAAAAGUUCUUCUUUUCCUUAACCCUCAGUGGCUUCCUAGGACUCAGAAUAAAAACAAAGCUGCUCAAACAGACUCAACAUGCUACGAUUCUGCAUUUGCUUUCUCUUUUGCUUCAUCUCUCCUAACAUACCCUUCAACCAAAGAUGAUCACUCACCCACCAGCGAAAUAUUUUCUGAACUUUCCUGUUUCUGUUCUUGUCAUUUUCUCUCCACUCAGCAAAGAUACAAAUCCUACCCAUUCUUCAAAUGUCACCUUCUUCAGAAAGCCUAAAGCCUCUCAGACAGCAGAAAACUGCAUUUCCUUGGCUUCUACAGUGCUUUAAACCUCUAGCAAAGCACGUUUGCUAUGUGCUAUAGUACAUUCAUACAUAUUAUCUUCCCUGUCCUCAGGGAACUUUAUAGCUUAAAAAAGAAAAUAAUAUGGUUAACCAUUUGGACUAAAGCUUUCCAGAAUGUGCCAUCCCAAAAUGUGCCUCUUUGGCAUAUGGAUUAUUUUCAGCUAAAUGCAAUUGAAAACCAGCAGAUGCAGGAGACUCUUGAGAGUCCCUUGGACAGCAAGGGGAUCAAACCAGUCAGUCCUAAAGGAAAUCAACCCUGAAUAUUCAUUGGAAAGACUGAUGCUGAAGCUGAAGCUCCAGU
Bubalus bubalis (water buffalo) is the source of this 1213-nucleotide long non-coding RNA. RefSeq lists it as uncharacterized. Lineage: Eukaryota; Metazoa; Chordata; Mammalia; Artiodactyla; Bovidae. The transcript is spliced from 4 exons. The record is from RefSeq and is a predicted model, not a curated record.